GACGAACGCUGGCGGCGUGCCUAACACAUGCAAGUCGAACGGAAGUAAAGAUUCGGUUUUACUUUAGUGGCGAACGGGUGAGUAACGCGUGAGGAACCUGCCUUUCAGUGGGGGACAACAGUUGGAAACGGCUGCUAAUACCGCAUGAUACUAUUGAGUGGCAUCACUUGAUAGUCAAAGAUUUAUUGCUGAAAGAUGGCCUCGCGUCUGAUUAGGUAGUAGGUGAGGUAACGGCUCACCUAGCCGACGAUGUCUAGGGGUUCUGAGAGGAAGGUCCCCCACACUGGAACUGAGACACGGUCCAGACUCCUACGGGAGGCAGCAGUGAGGAAUAUUGGUCAAUGGACGAGAGUCUGAACCAGCCAAGUAGCGUGCAGGAUGACGGCCCUCUGGGUUGUAAACUGCUUUUACCAGGGACGAAGAACGUGACGGUACCUGGAGAAAAAGCCACGGCUAACUACGUG
Molecule: ribosomal RNA, 464 nt
Filed under: uncultured bacterium
Lineage: Bacteria
Description: bacterial SSU rRNA
Rfam family: Bacterial small subunit ribosomal RNA
Source: RNAcentral